RNAcentral lists this ribosomal RNA (1101 nucleotides) under Triticum aestivum (bread wheat). RNAcentral's name for it is "partial small subunit ribosomal RNA". The record is from RNAcentral. Lineage: Eukaryota; Viridiplantae; Streptophyta; Magnoliopsida; Poales; Poaceae.
AUGAACCGCCCGACGCCGGCGCACCACAGGGGCAUGCCGCCGCCGCCGCAGCUGGCGCGGUACGGCUCCGCGCCGGGCUCGUUCCUCGCCGCGCUCGCCGACUCCGUCGCGCGCGGCGGGGGCGGAAGCGACGCGCCGGCCUCCCAGCAGCACCAGCCGGUGGCCGCCGUGGUGAGCCGGUUCUUCUCGGGGGAGUCGUCCGGGCUGACCUCCUGCGAGUCCAGCUGCCGGACGGCGGACGCCCCGCCGGCGCUCCAGCGGGCCUACGGCGGCUCCGGCGAGAUCCACGUGCCCCUCCCGCAGCAGCAGCAGCAGCAGCAGCCGGGGCUCCUCCGCCACAGCAGCUCCCCCGCCGGGCUGCUCUCCCGCCUCAUGGCCGACCCGCACGGCAAUGGCGGCAUGGGCGGCACGAGAGGAGGAGGGAUGGGGAGCGGCUAUGCGCACUCGCACUCCCAGGGCGGAGGUAACGUCGACGCGAUGGCGGCGCAGCAGAGGAGGCUGAGCUCGCAGUGGAGCUUCUCGAGGCAGCAGGACAUGAUGCCGCACAUCGCGGAGAUGGGGAUGGCCAUGCCGACGCCGAUGCCGCCCGCGGCCGACGCCGGCGAGAGCAUCGGCACCGGCCACGGCGGCGGCUCCAGCGACCUCUCCAGGAGCUUCUCCAUGAGCUCCUGGGACGACACCAACUCCAACAUCAUCUUCUCCGCGCCCGGCGGCGGCGGCAAGAAGGCCAAGCUGAUGGCCGACGGCGACGACGGCAUGGUCACCAGCUUCAGCAACAUCGACUCACAGUUUGGCUCGUCUCUGGACAUGCCCGGCAUGGACGACUACCUGCAGCUGCAGCAGGACUCCGUCGCCUGCAGGGUCCGCGCCAAGCGCGGCUGCGCCACUCACCCGCGGAGCAUCGCCGAGAGGGAAAGAAGAACAAGGAUCAGCAAGAGGCUUAGGAGGUUGCAAGACCUCGUGCCCAACAUGGACAAGCAAACAAAUACUUCAGACAUGCUGGACAUUGCAGUAGACUACAUCAAAGUGCUGCAGGACCAAAUUGAGAAACUAAAACAGGACCAAGGAAACUGCUCCUGCUCAGCCGAUCAGAAGUGCUGA